This 411-nucleotide ribosomal RNA is filed under the name uncultured bacterium. RNAcentral's name for it is "bacterial SSU rRNA". It matches the Rfam family "Bacterial small subunit ribosomal RNA", at positions 362 to 770 of the family's 1533-position model. The record is from RNAcentral.
UAUUGGUCAAUGGGCGAGAGCCUGAACCAGCCAAGUCGCGUGAAGAAUGACGGCCCUACGGGUUGUAAACUUCUUUUGUCAGGGAGCAAUUGGGUCCACGCGUGGGCUUAGCGAGAGUACCUGAAGAAAAAGCAUCGGCUAACUCCGUGCCAGCAGCCGCGGUAAUACGGAGGAUGCGAGCGUUAUCCGGAUUUAUUGGGUUUAAAGGGUGCGUAGGCGGAAUAUCAAGUCAGCGGUAAAAAUUCGGGGCUCAACCCCGUCCGGCCGUUGAAACUGGGGGCCUUGAGUGGGCGAGAAGAAGGCGGAAUGCGUGGUGUAGCGGUGAAAUGCAUAGAUAUCACGCAGAACCCCGAUUGCGAAGGCAGCCUUCCGGCGCCCUACUGACGCUGAGGCACGAAAGUGCGGGGAUCG